UGGCUGGAGACAUAGCUCAGUUGGUAAAGUGCUUGCCUUAUAAGCAGGAGGACCUGGGUUCAAACCCCAGGACAGGCAU
Non-coding RNA from Peromyscus eremicus (cactus mouse), 79 nucleotides. Lineage: Eukaryota; Metazoa; Chordata; Mammalia; Rodentia; Cricetidae. The record is from the annotation of a RefSeq genome assembly.